RNAcentral lists this ribosomal RNA (452 nucleotides) under uncultured bacterium. RNAcentral's name for it is "bacterial SSU rRNA". It matches the Rfam family "Bacterial small subunit ribosomal RNA", at positions 335 to 802 of the family's 1533-position model. The record is from RNAcentral.
ACUCCUACGGGAGGCAGCAGUGGGGAAUAUUGCACAAUGGGGGAAAGCCCAUCGAUGCAGCAACGCCGCGUGGAGGAUGACACAUUUCGGUGCGUAAACUCCUUUUAUAUAGGAAGAUAAUGACGGUACUAUAUGAAUAAGCGCCGGCUAACUCCGUGCCAGCAGCCGCGGUAAUACGGAGGGCGCAAGCGUUACUCGGAAUCACUGGGCGUAAAGAGCGUGUAGGCGGAUAGAUAAGUCAGGAGUGAAAUCCUAUGGCUCAACCAUAGAACUGCUCUUGAAACUGUCAAUCUAGAGUAUGGGAGAGGUAGAUGGAAUUUCUGGUGUAGGGGUAAAAUCCGUAGAGAUCAGAAGGAAUACCGAUUGCGAAGGCGAUCUACUGGAACAUAACUGACGCUGAGACGCGAAAGCGUGGGGAGCAAACAGGAUUAGAUACCCUGGUAGCUACGAGU